Molecule: transfer RNA, 72 nt
Organism: Archaeoglobus fulgidus DSM 4304
Lineage: Archaea; Methanobacteriati; Methanobacteriota; Archaeoglobi; Archaeoglobales; Archaeoglobaceae
Rfam family: tRNA
About the family: Transfer RNA (tRNA) molecules are approximately 80 nucleotides in length.
Source: Rfam
GCCCCCGUGGGGUAGCGGAUAUCCUGAGGGGCUGCGGACUCCUCGACCCGGGUUCAACUCCCGGCGGGGGCA